GUAGUCUGCAACUCGACUACAUGAAGCUGGAAUCGCUAGUAAUCGCAGAUCAGAAUGCUGCGGUGAAUACGUUCCCGGGUCUUGUACACACCGCCGUCACACCAUGGGAGUCGGAAAUGCCCGAAGCCGGUGACCCAAACCAAAAGGAGGGAGCCGUCGAAGGCAGGUCUGAUAACUGGGGUGAAGUCGUAACAAGGUAUC
This 201-nucleotide ribosomal RNA is filed under the name uncultured bacterium. RNAcentral describes it as "partial 16S ribosomal RNA". It matches the Rfam family "Bacterial small subunit ribosomal RNA", at positions 1300 to 1500 of the family's 1533-position model. The record is from RNAcentral.